AUUGAACGCUGGCGGAAUGCUUUACACAUGCAAGUCGAGCGGCAGCGCGGGGGCAACCCUGGCGGCGAGCGGCGAACGGGUGAGUAACAUAUCGGAACGUACCCCGUCGUGGGGGAUAACACAGCGAAAGCUGUGCUAAUACCGCAUACGACCUGAGGGUGAAAGCGGGGGAUCGCAAGACCUCGCGCGAUGGGAGCGGCCGAUAUCGGAUUAGCUUGUUGGUGAGGUAAAGGCUCACCAAGGCGACGAUCCGUAGCUGGUCUGAGAGGACGACUAGCCACACUGGAACUGAGACACGGUCCAGACUCCUACGGGAGGCAGCAGUGGGGAAUUUUGGACAAUGGGGGCAACCCUGAUCCAGCCAUUCCGCGUGAGUGAAGAA
This 382-nucleotide ribosomal RNA is filed under the name uncultured bacterium. RNAcentral's name for it is "bacterial SSU rRNA". It matches the Rfam family "Bacterial small subunit ribosomal RNA", at positions 29 to 412 of the family's 1533-position model. The record is from RNAcentral.